GAUGAACGCUGGCGGCGUGCCUAAUACAUGCAAGUCGAGCGAACAGACGAGGAGCUUGCUCCUCUGACGUUAGCGGCGGACGGGUGAGUAACACGUGGAUAACCUACCUAUAAGACUGGGAUAACUUCGUGAAACCGGAGCCAAUACCGGAUAAUAUAUUCAACCGCAUGGUUCAAUAGAGAAAGACGGUUUUGCUGUCACUUAUAGAUGAUUCCGCGCCGCAUUAGCUAGUUGGUAAGGUAACGGCUUACCAAGGCAACGAUGCGUAGCCGACCUGAGAGGGUGAUCGGCCACACUGGAACUGAGACACGGUCCAGACUCCUACGGGAGGCAGCAGUAGGGAAUCUUCCGCAAUGGGCGAAAGCCUGACGGAGCAACGCCGCGUGAGUGAUGAAGGUCUUCGGAUCGUAAAACUCUGUUAUUAGGGAAGAACAAAUGUGUAAGUAACUAUGCACGUCUUGACGGUACCUAAUCAGAAAGCCCCGGCUAACUACGUG
This 497-nucleotide ribosomal RNA is filed under the name uncultured bacterium. Its description in RNAcentral is "partial 16S ribosomal RNA". It matches the Rfam family "Bacterial small subunit ribosomal RNA", at positions 28 to 507 of the family's 1533-position model. The record is from RNAcentral.